This 1558-nucleotide ribosomal RNA is filed under the name Salmonella enterica subsp. enterica serovar Rissen. Its description in RNAcentral is "bacterial LSU rRNA". It matches the Rfam family "Bacterial large subunit ribosomal RNA", at positions 1271 to 2812 of the family's 2925-position model. The record is from RNAcentral. Lineage: Bacteria; Pseudomonadati; Pseudomonadota; Gammaproteobacteria; Enterobacterales; Enterobacteriaceae.
UGCUGGAGGUAUCAGAAGUGCGAAUGCUGACAUAAGUAACGAUAAAGCGGGUGAAAAGCCCGCUCGCCGGAAGACCAAGGGUUCCUGUCCAACGUUAAUCGGGGCAGGGUGAGUCGACCCCUAAGGCGAGGCCGAAAGGCGUAGUCGAUGGGAAACGGGUUAAUAUUCCCGUACUUGGUGUUACUGCGAAGGGGGGACGGAGAAGGCUAUGUUGGCCGGGCGACGGUUGUCCCGGUUUAAGCGUGUAGGUGUGUGUUCCAGGUAAAUCCGGUUCACUUUAACACUGAGGCGUGACGACGAGGCACUACGGUGCUGAAGCAACAAAUGCCCUGCUUCCAGGAAAAGCCUCUAAGCAUCAGGUAACAUCAAAUCGUACCCCAAACCGACACAGGUGGUCAGGUAGAGAAUACCAAGGCGCUUGAGAGAACUCGGGUGAAGGAACUAGGCAAAAUGGUGCCGUAACUUCGGGAGAAGGCACGCUGACACGUAGGUGAAGUGAUUUACUCACGGAGCUGAAGUCAGUCGAAGAUACCAGCUGGCUGCAACUGUUUAUUAAAAACACAGCACUGUGCAAACACGAAAGUGGACGUAUACGGUGUGACGCCUGCCCGGUGCCGGAAGGUUAAUUGAUGGGGUCAGCGCAAGCGAAGCUCCUGAUCGAAGCCCCGGUAAACGGCGGCCGUAACUAUAACGGUCCUAAGGUAGCGAAAUUCCUUGUCGGGUAAGUUCCGACCUGCACGAAUGGCGUAAUGAUGGCCAGGCUGUCUCCACCCGAGACUCAGUGAAAUUGAACUCGCUGUGAAGAUGCAGUGUACCCGCGGCAAGACGGAAAGACCCCGUGAACCUUUACUAUAGCUUGACACUGAACAUUGAGCCUUGAUGUGUAGGAUAGGUGGGAGGCUUUGAAGCGUGGACGCCAGUCUGCGUGGAGCCGACCUUGAAAUACCACCCUUUAAUGUUUGAUGUUCUAACGUGGACCCGUAAUCCGGGUUGCGGACAGUGUCUGGUGGGUAGUUUGACUGGGGCGGUCUCCUCCUAAAGAGUAACGGAGGAGCACGAAGGUUGGCUAAUCCUGGUCGGACAUCAGGAGGUUAGUGCAAUGGCAUAAGCCAGCUUGACUGCGAGCGUGACGGCGCGAGCAGGUGCGAAAGCAGGUCAUAGUGAUCCGGUGGUUCUGAAUGGAAGGGCCAUCGCUCAACGGAUAAAAGGUACUCCGGGGAUAACAGGCUGAUACCGCCCAAGAGUUCAUAUCGACGGCGGUGUUUGGCACCUCGAUGUCGGCUCAUCACAUCCUGGGGCUGAAGUAGGUCCCAAGGGUAUGGCUGUUCGCCAUUUAAAGUGGUACGCGAGCUGGGUUUAGAACGUCGUGAGACAGUUCGGUCCCUAUCUGCCGUGGGCGCUGGAGAACUGAGGGGGGCUGCUCCUAGUACGAGAGGACCGGAGUGGACGCAUCACUGGUGUUCGGGUUGUCAUGCCAAUGGCACUGCCCGGUAGCUAAAUGCGGAAGAGAUAAGUGCUGAAAGCAUCUAAGCACGAAACUUGCCCCGAGAUGAGUUCU